UACGAAGGGGGCUAGCGUUGCUCGGAAUCACUGGGCGUAAAGGGUGCGUAGGCGGGUUUUUAAGUCAGGGGUGAAAUCCUGGAGCUCAACUCCAGAACUGCCUUUGAUACUGAAGAUCUUGAGUCCGGGAGAGGUGAGUGGAACUGCGAGUGUAGAGGUGAAAUUCGUAGAUAUUCGCAAGAACACCAGUGGCGAAGGCGGCUCACUGGCCCGGUACUGACGCUGAGGCACGAAAGCGUGGGGAGCAAUCAGG
RNAcentral lists this ribosomal RNA (253 nucleotides) under uncultured bacterium. RNAcentral describes it as "partial 16S ribosomal RNA". It matches the Rfam family "Bacterial small subunit ribosomal RNA", at positions 524 to 776 of the family's 1533-position model. The record is from RNAcentral.